Molecule: ribosomal RNA, 634 nt
Filed under: Microbotryum stellariae
Lineage: Eukaryota; Fungi; Basidiomycota; Microbotryomycetes; Microbotryales; Microbotryaceae
Description: LSU rRNA
Rfam family: Eukaryotic large subunit ribosomal RNA
Source: RNAcentral
UGCAUAUCAAUAAGCGGAGGAAAAGAAACUAACAAGGAUUCCCCUAGUAACGGCGAGUGAAGCGGGAAAAGCUCAAAUUUGUAAUCUGGCGCCUUGGGCGUCCGAGUUGUAAUCUCGAGAAGUAUUUUCCGCGCUGGACCGCACAUAAGUCUGUUGGAAUACAGCGUCAUAGUGGUGAGAACCCCGUAUAGGGUGCGGAUGCCCAGUGCUUUGUGAUAUACUUUCGAAGAGUCGAGUUGUUUGGGAAUGCAGCUCAAAUUGGGUGGUAAAUUCCAUCUAAAGCUAAAUAUUGGCGAGAGACCGAUAGCGAACAAGUACCGUGAGGGAAAGAUGAAAAGCACUUUGGAAAGAGAGUUAACAGUACGUGAAAUUGUUGGAAGGGAAACGCUUGAAGUCAGACUUGCAUUUUGGAGUUCAGCCGCAAGGUGUAUUCUUCAAUUCGCAGGCCAGCAUCAGUUUUUGGGGGUGGAAAAGCGCGGUUGGAAGGUAGCAGUCUUGGCUGUGUUAUAGCUUUCCGCUGGAUUCACUUUUGGGGACUGAGGAACGCAGUACGCUUUUUGCAAGAUUCUAGAGUCUUUCGUACUUAGGAUGCUGGUGGAAUGGCUUUAAACGACCCGUCUUGAAAGACGGACCA